RNAcentral lists this ribosomal RNA (1530 nucleotides) under Escherichia coli. Its description in RNAcentral is "bacterial SSU rRNA". It matches the Rfam family "Bacterial small subunit ribosomal RNA". The record is from RNAcentral. Lineage: Bacteria; Pseudomonadati; Pseudomonadota; Gammaproteobacteria; Enterobacterales; Enterobacteriaceae.
AGAGUUUGAUCAUGGCUCAGAUUGAACGCUGGCGGCAGGCCUAACACAUGCAAGUCGAACGGUAACAGGAAGCAGCUUGCUGCUUCGCUGACGAGUGGCGGACGGGUGAGUAAUGUCUGGGAAGCUGCCUGAUGGAGGGGGAUAACUACUGGAAACGGUAGCUAAUACCGCAUAAUGUCGCAAGACCAAAGAGGGGGACCUUCGGGCCUCUUGCCAUCGGAUGUGCCCAGAUGGGAUUAGCUUGUUGGUGGGGUAACGGCUCACCAAGGCGACGAUCCCUAGCUGGUCUGAGAGGAUGACCAGCCACACUGGAACUGAGACACGGUCCAGACUCCUACGGGAGGCAGCAGUGGGGAAUAUUGCACAAUGGGCGCAAGCCUGAUGCAGCCAUGCCGCGUGUAUGAAGAAGGCCUUCGGGUUGUAAAGUACUUUCAGCGGGGAGGAAGGGAGUAAAGUUAAUACCUUUGCUCAUUGACGUUACCCGCAGAAGAAGCACCGGCUAACUCCGUGCCAGCAGCCGCGGUAAUACGGAGGGUGCAAGCGUUAAUCGGAAUUACUGGGCGUAAAGCGCACGCAGGCGGUUUGUUAAGUCAGAUGUGAAAUCCCCGGGCUCAACCUGGGAACUGCAUCUGAUACUGGCAAGCUUGAGUCUCGUAGAGGGGGGUGGAAUUCCAGGUGUAGCGGUGAAAUGCGUAGAGAUCUGGAGGAAUACCGGUGGCGAAGGCGGCCCCCUGGACGAAGACUGACGCUCAGGUGCGAAAGCGUGGGGAGCAAACAGGAUUAGAUACCCUGGUAGUCCACGCCGUAAACGAUGUCGACUUGGAGGUUGUGCCCUUGAGGCGUGGCUUCCGGAGCUAACGCGUUAAGUCGACCGCCUGGGGAGUACGGCCGCAAGGUUAAAACUCAAAUGAAUUGACGGGGGCCCGCACAAGCGGUGGAGCAUGUGGUUUAAUUCGAUGCAACGCGAAGAACCUUACCUGGUCUUGACAUCCACGGAAGUUUUCAGAGAUGAGAAUGUGCCUUCGGGAACCGUGAGACAGGUGCUGCAUGGCUGUCGUCAGCUCGUGUUGUGAAAUGUUGGGUUAAGUCCCGCAACGAGCGCAACCCUUAUCCUUUGUUGCCAGCGGUCCGGCCGGGAACUCAAAGGAGACUGCCAGUGAUAAACUGGAGGAAGGUGGGGAUGACGUCAAGUCAUCAUGGCCCUUACGACCAGGGCUACACACGUGCUACAAUGGCGCAUACAAAGAGAAGCGACCUCGCGAGAGCAAGCGGACCUCAUAAAGUGCGUCGUAGUCCGGAUUGGAGUCUGCAACUCGACUCCAUGAAGUCGGAAUCGCUAGUAAUCGUGGAUCAGAAUGCCACGGUGAAUACGUUCCCGGGCCUUGUACACACCGCCCGUCACACCAUGGGAGUGGGUUGCAAAAGAAGUAGGUAGCUUAACCUUCGGGAGGGCGCUUACCACUUUGUGAUUCAUGACUGGGGUGAAGUCGUAACAAGGUAACCGUAGGGGAACCUGCGGUUGGAUCACCU